CUUAUCUUUCUCAGUAGUAUAUAACUGAUAUAGUAUCUUUAUCUGGGAGAUAGUUUUCAGCCUGGUGAGAAACCCCUCGCAGUGCCUUUACCCCAAUUCCUUAUCCUUCGCAACUCAGCUUGAAUACUAUUGUUAUUAUCAACCGCUACCUUUACCUUUUCACGAAUACUUCUGGGAGCUAGCACAUUUCACGCCAAGCUGCGAAUCUUGGGAAUCACCGCUUGCGAAGCUCUUAUUCUUACAAGUUCACUCUCAAUUUACAUGUACACUGUACAUCAGAUAAUCAGUCUUUUAUUCAAGAAUAGCUCUCAUCGAUCAGUCAGUUUUCAUCAAAAGACCAACGGAAAUUUAAAUAAAAAGUCAGAAGCUUCUAUUCUAAUCAAUAAAUAUAUAUCAAUCAAUCUUUAAAUGGUUAAUCUCAAAAUAUAC
Molecule: small RNA, 429 nt
Filed under: Histoplasma ohiense
Lineage: Eukaryota; Fungi; Ascomycota; Eurotiomycetes; Onygenales; Ajellomycetaceae
Description: hypothetical lncRNA
Source: RNAcentral